UACGUAGGGUGCAAGCGUUGUCCGGAAUUAUUGGGCGUAAAGAGCUCGUAGGCGGUCUGUCGCGUCGGAUGUGAAAAUCCAGGGCUUAACCCUGGACCUGCAUUCGAUACGGGCAGACUAGAGUUCGGUAGGGGGGAGUGGAAUUCCUGGUGUAGCGGUGAAAUGCGCAGAUAUCAGGAGGAACACCGGUGGCGAAGGCGGGUCUCUGGGCCGAUACUGACGCUGAGGAGCGAAAGCGUGGGGAGCGAACAGG
Molecule: ribosomal RNA, 253 nt
Filed under: uncultured bacterium
Lineage: Bacteria
Description: partial 16S ribosomal RNA
Rfam family: Bacterial small subunit ribosomal RNA
Source: RNAcentral